UCGAGUCAAUGGGUCACCAGAUCAAGCAUGGAACUGACUCGUUUGUGCAUGGCAUUUACUCAUUUGCCCUCGUGGCGAAUCUCAGAGUUAGAAGGACGGAUUUGGGGGUCACAAGGAAGGGUCUAGGGCCCAUAGGGGCGAGGUAUUGUCAAGGGUGCGCGUGCAGGCCUUAGUAUCACAUGAACGAGUCUAAUAGUCAUUGUGGUGUCCUCACAUUCGAAGAUGAGAUUAAUUCUCGUUCGGGAUUUGGCUUGUUUUUUGUCACAAAGUGUUUUCAGCGGGUUUCGAAUUCCUGUCAUUGAGGCAUUAGGUAGCUCGUCGACUGGAAGUGACACUUUACCAAUCACACCAUACCUUGUAGUUGACACGCAAAUAAUUUCACAAAAAUGAAACUAGAGAGCUUCUUGAUCUCACCAGAAGUCAGCUAUUAUAAAACUUCCACGCAAUAGUCUCCUAACAAUACUUAUUGUUUCC
Molecule: long non-coding RNA, 474 nt
Filed under: Prunus persica (peach)
Lineage: Eukaryota; Viridiplantae; Streptophyta; Magnoliopsida; Rosales; Rosaceae
Description: long non-coding RNA (PPER_LNC003706)
Source: RNAcentral